UUCCUACGGGACGCAGCAGUGAGGAAUAUUGGUCAAUGGGCGGGAGCCUGAACCAGCCAAGUCGCGUGAAGGAAGAAGGUACUUAGUAUUGUAAACUUCUUUUGUCGGGGAACAAAGGCGGAGACGCGUCUCCGGAUGAGUGUACCCGAAGAAAAAGCAUCGGCUAACUCCGUGCCAGCAGCCGCGGUAAUACGGAGGAUGCGAGCGUUAUCCGGAUUUAUUGGGUUUAAAGGGUGCGAAGGCGGAAUAUCAAGUCAGCGGUAAAAAUUCGGGGCUCAACCCCGUCGUGCCGUUGAAACUGAUGU
This 305-nucleotide ribosomal RNA is filed under the name uncultured bacterium. RNAcentral's name for it is "bacterial SSU rRNA". It matches the Rfam family "Bacterial small subunit ribosomal RNA", at positions 336 to 639 of the family's 1533-position model. The record is from RNAcentral.